CCACUGGAUGAUGAUUCUGCCAAGGCAAUCGACAUGAUAAAUGAAAGGAUGAGCAAUAAUGAAAGAUCUACCGACCAACCUCCUCACAAUAUUGCUUGGGAAGGUGAUGUGUAUUCUCAAGUGUUGGGAAA
Solanum tuberosum (potato) is the source of this 131-nucleotide long non-coding RNA. RefSeq lists it as uncharacterized. NCBI's taxonomy places the organism in Eukaryota, Viridiplantae, Streptophyta, Magnoliopsida, Solanales, Solanaceae. The transcript has 2 exons. The record is from RefSeq and is a predicted model, not a curated record.